Molecule: ribosomal RNA, 490 nt
Filed under: uncultured bacterium
Lineage: Bacteria
Description: partial 16S ribosomal RNA
Rfam family: Bacterial small subunit ribosomal RNA
Source: RNAcentral
AUUGAACGCUGGCGGCAGGCCUAACACAUGCAAGUCGAACGGUAACAGGAAGCAGCUUGCUGCUUUGCUGACGAGUGGCGGACGGGUGAGUAAUGUCUGGGAAACUGCCUGAUGGAGGGGGAUAACUACUGGAAACGGUAGCUAAUACCGCAUAACGUCGCAAGACCAAAGAGGGGGACCUUCGGGCCUCUUGCCAUCGGAUGUGCCCAGAUGGGAUUAGCUAGUAGGUGGGGUAACGGCUCACCUAGGCGACGAUCCCUAGCUGGUCUGAGAGGAUGACCAGCCACACUGGAACUGAGACACGGUCCAGACUCCUACGGGAGGCAGCAGUGGGGAAUAUUGCACAAUGGGCGAAAGCCUGAUGCAGCCAUGCCGCGUGUAUGAAGAAGGCCUUCGGGUUGUAAAGUACUUUCAGCGGGGAGGAAGGGAGUAAAGUUAAUACCUUUGCUCAUUGACGUUACCCGCAGAAGAAGCACCGGCUAACUCCGUG